Molecule: ribosomal RNA, 464 nt
Filed under: Lacticaseibacillus paracasei
Lineage: Bacteria; Bacillati; Bacillota; Bacilli; Lactobacillales; Lactobacillaceae
Description: bacterial SSU rRNA
Rfam family: Bacterial small subunit ribosomal RNA
Source: RNAcentral
GAUGAACGCUGGCGGCGUGCCUAAUACAUGCAAGUCGAACGAGUUCUCGUUGAUGAUCGGUGCUUGCACCGAGAUUCAACAUGGAACGAGUGGCGGACGGGUGAGUAACACGUGGGUAACCUGCCCUUAAGUGGGGGAUAACAUUUGGAAACAGAUGCUAAUACCGCAUAGAUCAAAGAACCGCAUGGUUCUUGGCUGAAAGAUGGCGUAAGCUAUCGCUUUUGGAUGGACCCGCGGCGUAUUAGCUAGUUGGUGAGGUAAUGGCUCACCAAGGCGAUGAUACGUAGCCGAACUGAGAGGUUGAUCGGCCACAUUGGGACUGAGACACGGCCCAAACUCCUACGGGAGGCAGCAGUAGGGAAUCUUCCACAAUGGACGCAAGUCUGAUGGAGCAACGCCGCGUGAGUGAAGAAGGCUUUCGGGUCGUAAAACUCUGUUGUUGGAGAAGAAGGUCGGCAGAGUAA